GAACAAAAAGCAGUUCUGUGCAUAUGAAACAAGAAAAUAGUGAAAAGGCUUGUGUCUUCCCCUGAGCCGCCACUCUUUGUUCCAGUCUUAAAGUCUGACAUAUACUAGGGGUUGGAGGGGGGGAAAUGUUCCAGGAGCGCGGCGGUGAGACCCGGGGACUGGCGCUGGGACUGUCCGGCUCCUGGAGCUGUGAGCCGGGGACCUCCAGAGCCGCACCGGGGAUUGAUUUCCCGCUGGGCAGCUGAGGAUCUGCGGCCCGGCCUGGGUCGGAAGGAUACUGAACUGUUCCUGGGCCAACUGAGAUAUGUAAACACCUCGGCAAGUUCUUGGUCUACCCUGGGGUCUCCUCCCAGUUCAAAGUGCAAAGAAAACCUUCGUAGCGAGGCGCACAAGAGAUACCCAGAUCACCUCAGCUGGAUCCUUUUGAUGCAAAGACGCAGCAAUUCUCAUUGAAGCUGCCUCUGAAUCUUCAAGCUCCUCAACUUGUCUCUAAUGGUGUCCUUGGCUUCCGACCAACAACACCCACCAGCCAGCAGAGCAUCAUCCGUGAAGUUUACCUCUCGGUGCAAAAGGCUGAUAACCUGUAAUGAACGGGAGAGCAGCGGAGGCAGAGUGCAGGAUGAAAGCUGAGAUCUGAUCAACACAUGUCCUGGUUUCACCUCUGUUUGUCACGACUGUUUGCACAGAAUUAUUCCUACGCUAUCAGCACAUCCUAGACAACCUCCAGCUUGGCUUUGCUUCAGAGUUUCUUUCCAUAUUGUCCUAUUUUAAUCUUUUCAAAGGAUCACUUGGUUAUACAUGCAUUUAUAUCGCUGUAAGUGACUAGAGACUUAACAUUUACAUUUAUUUGUAUCCCACUUAACCCUCCUGUUGUCCUCAUUUACAGGCACUAAAAAAUAUUGUUUCUUUGUCUGAGAAAUAUCCAAAAAUUCAGCAAAAAAAUUCCCCAAAUUUUGGAAAAAAGUGCAAAACCUUCAGGAAGAAAAUUCCAAUAAUUCCUUAAAAAUUUCCCUUAAAAGUUUUGUUUUUAAAAAUCCCCCAAAAUUGGCAAGAAUAUUCUUGUAAAUAUUUUCAAAAAAUGAGUAAAAAUCUUCCAAAAAAAAAUCCUGAAAAUAUCUAAAGUGAUUACAUAUAUAUCAGUAAAACUUCUAUUUUCUUUAAGAACAUUCACAAAAAAAUCAACCAAAAUCCAGCGAAAUUCGCUGGAUUUUGGUUGAUUUUUUUUGUGAAUGUUCUUAAGAAACAUUUUUAACAUUUCUUUUUUUUUUUCCACCACAAAAUGUUUAAAGAUUUCCCAGAAAUGUUGAAAAUGUGGACAUCGGAAGUUUCACUGUGAAAAUUAUUAUUUAUUUCCACAUUUUCAAACUUUAAAACGAGUCAAUUUUGACCCGCAGGACGACACGAGGGAACUUUUCAUUUACUUUCUUCUUUUUCCCAUCUGUAGAUCUGGCUGAUCUGGAUAUGACCCUCAAUCUGUGCUUACUGGACAAACAAAGAGAGACAAUGACAGCUCAUUAGCAGCAGCUCACUGACAGCCUACUGACUGUCUGUAGCUGAUGGUCCAAUAUUUGACCUACUUCAUGGUUCUGCACGAUCAGUCAUUUUGUUGGAGGUAAAAUGUUUUUAAGACGGCCAUAAAACGCCAAUCGAGGCGAGAUCAGAUUGAUUUAAUCAAGGCAAACAAUAAUUUGUGCCUCAUAAACACAAUAAAAACACUUCACAUUAAGGUUUCUCAGUGAUUAUGUACAUUUUGUGAUGUUUCGGAUCUGAUAUGUUUUCUGUGAAUGAAGUUUUAUUUGUAUGAUUAUAAAGACUGGAAUCACAGAACUUUUUGAAGCCAUAAGCUAAUAAUUUACUCAUAGCGUUCCCUGUCUCCUGUGCCUUCUCUUUACUCUUUCAGACACAAUAAGGCCUUUCCUUUCACUUUCUCAAGGCUGCAGAAGCAGAGAUUUCCCUCUGAUUUAAUUGAAAAUGUGCAAAAACAUGGGAGUAGCAUACAAGUUAUUCAAAACACAUUCAUUUCAAUAGGAUCAACAGGUGCUGAGUAUGACUGAAUUUAACACCUGAUUCGUCUUUCUGUGUUUCCAGGUGAUGCCUUUAAGCUGUGCUGGUGCUUUAGAGUUUUACAAUGUGUGACGAAGUGAUAUGACUGUUCGCUUGAUCAUACACGACACAGCAGUUUCCAUGAUGCACGAGUCUGUCUGACGCAGUGCUUAUUUGUCUCUGCGAAAGAGCAAACUGUCUGCAAGCAAAGCUAAAAAUGCUCUCAGUGUGUGUCACCUGGAGAGCAAAGCUGCCAGAUAGAACAGACUAUUACUGUGCACAUCUCAGGAUAACUGAAGUACUUUCUGUGGAUUGAAUAAAAAUCAUACUCACCCUGCAAA
RNA transcript from Acanthochromis polyacanthus (spiny chromis), 2384 nucleotides. It is a transcript of the gene named KDEL endoplasmic reticulum protein retention receptor 3, with no coding region annotated. The record is from RefSeq and is a predicted model, not a curated record. Lineage: Eukaryota; Metazoa; Chordata; Actinopteri; Pomacentridae. The transcript is spliced from 4 exons.